AUUGAACGCUGGCGGCAGGCUUAACACAUGCAAGUCGAGCGGUAGCACAGGGGAGCUUGCUCCCUGGGUGACGAGCGGCGGACGGGUGAGUAAUGUCUGGGAAACUGCCUGAUGGAGGGGGAUAACUACUGGAAACGGUAGCUAAUACCGCAUAACGUCGCAAGACCAAAGAGGGGGACCUUCGGGCCUCUUGCCAUCAGAUGUGCCCAGAUGGGAUUAGCUAGUAGGUGGGGUAAUGGCUCACCUAGGCGACGAUCCCUAGCUGGUCUGAGAGGAUGACCAGCCACACUGGAACUGAGACACGGUCCAGACUCCUACGGGAGGCAGCAGUGGGGAAUAUUGCACAAUGGGCGCAAGCCUGAUGCAGCCAUGCCGCGUGUGUGAAGAAGGCCUUCGGGUUGUAAAGCACUUUCAGCGAGGAGGAAGGUGGUGAGCUUAAUAUGUUCAUCAAUUGACGUUACUCGCAGAAGAAGCACCGGCUAACUCCGUG
This 490-nucleotide ribosomal RNA is filed under the name uncultured bacterium. RNAcentral's name for it is "partial 16S ribosomal RNA". It matches the Rfam family "Bacterial small subunit ribosomal RNA", at positions 30 to 507 of the family's 1533-position model. The record is from RNAcentral.